AGAGUUUGAUCAUGGCUCAGGAUGAACGCUAGCUACAGGCUUAACACAUGCAAGUCGAGGGGAAACGAUAGAGAAAGCUUGCUUUUUCUAGGCGUCGACCGGCGCACGGGUGAGUAACGCGUAUCCAACCUGCCCACCACUUGGGGAUAACCUUGCGAAAGUAAGACUAAUACCCAAUGACGUCUCUAGAAGACAUCUGAAAGGGAUUAAAGAUUUAUCGGUGAUGGAUGGGGAUGCGUCUGAUUAGCUUGUUGGCGGGGUAACGGCCCACCAAGGCAACGAUCAGUAGGGGUUCUGAGAGGAAGGUCCCCCACAUUGGAACUGAGACACGGUCCAAACUCCUACGGGAGGCAGCAGUGAGGAAUAUUGGUCAAUGGGCGAGAGCCUGAACCAGCCAAGUAGCGUGCAGGAUGACGGCCCUAUGGGUUGUAAACUGCUUUUAUAAGGGAAUAAAGUGAGUCUCGUGAGGCUUUUUGCAUGUACCUUAUGAAUAAGGACCGGCUAAUUCCGUGCCAGCAGCCGCGGUAAUACGGAAGGUCCGGGCGUUAUCCGGAUUUAUUGGGUUUAAAGGGAGCGUAGGCCGGAGAUUAAGCGUGUUGUGAAAUGUAGAUGCUCAACAUCUGCACUGCAGCGCGAACUGGUUUCCUUGAGUACGCACAAAGUGGGCGGAAUUCGUGGUGUAGCGGUGAAAUGCUUAGAUAUCACGAAGAACUCCGAUUGCGAAGGCAGCUCACUGGAGCGCAACUGACGCUGAAGCUCGAAAGUGCGGGUAUCGAACAGGAUUAGAUACCCUGGUAGUCCGCACGGUAAACGAUGGAUGCCCGCUGUUGGUCUGAAUAGGUCAGCGGCCAAGCGAAAGCAUUAAGCAUCCCACCUGGGGA
RNAcentral lists this ribosomal RNA (881 nucleotides) under uncultured bacterium. RNAcentral's name for it is "bacterial SSU rRNA". It matches the Rfam family "Bacterial small subunit ribosomal RNA", at positions 8 to 879 of the family's 1533-position model. The record is from RNAcentral.